This is a long non-coding RNA of Parus major (Great Tit), 1669 nucleotides long. RefSeq lists it as uncharacterized. The record is from RefSeq and is a predicted model, not a curated record. The transcript is spliced from 2 exons. Lineage: Eukaryota; Metazoa; Chordata; Aves; Passeriformes; Paridae.
CCGGGCUCGGCUUUUCACACCUUUCUCUCCCGAUGAUGCGUGAGGACGUUUUGGGAGAGAGCGGCUCGGCGGGGUCCUCUCCGACCAGGUCCCCCUCGACCUUGCGGGGACCCGGCCGGGCGGCGCGGGUCUGGGAUUGUGCCGGGUUUCAAGGACACGGGAGAUGAUCAGGACUUUGGGAGCCAACAUCUGCCUGGCUGGUGACGUCAGCAACCCCGUGUAAUCCUCUUGUACUGAAGGCAGAUGCCUUAUUUGUUUGGCUGGAGAGGCAUUAAUCCCUAAUUCUGGAGCAGCAAGCGAGGGGGAGAGACCGGACCGCUUCCUAUCCCCCGAAAGCAGCUAGAGGGGCUCUCCUCUCCUGCGCUCCGCGGCUCCGACUGGGUGGAGGAGCCGCCAGCCCUCGGCAGGCGGCCGCACGCAGGAGCUACGGUGCCGAGGGGGGCCGGAGCCGCCUUCCCAGUUUGCCCCCGGAUGCCCCGGCAAGCUACGGGAAAAGUCUCUGAGAAGCCCGGCUCGCCGCAGGAUCCCGGCCGCCGCCGCGUUCAGCCUCAGCACAUCCCCUUCGCCUCCUCUCUCUCUCCCGGGCCCUGGCGCCGAGGAAGCAGUCGAGGUCAGCUGCCCGGUUCCUGGGGUCCGGCCGUGGUCGAGCCCGCAGGGUGAUGCAAGGUGCCCGGCCGCUCCACUCCUCCCCGGCGCGCCGUCGGCGCCGAAAAGGAAUGGUCCCGAUCCUGAGCCGUGAAAGAUGGCAAAAAGCGUAACAAUAAUAAUAAUAAUAAUAAAAGCUCAGGCUAAUUUUAUUUUUUUUUUUAAUUACUGUAAUGACUUCACUCCUCAUUUCCUCACUCGCCAGUUCAGUGUAGGCAAGCCAGAUGGGCUGCCCAGACCCUCCCGGGAAAGGGGCAGGUGCGAGUGAGUUAAAUUUUUUUCUGCUUUACAAAGAAAGAUGACACGUCCUGCCCUUUCAUUUUUCAUCGCCGAAAGAUCCCCUCUUCCCUCCCCAGCCCUCCCCCUGGCCGAGGGGAGCGGGGAUGCUCUGGGGGUGCUGGCUCCCCCCUCCCGUGCUCCAGGGGAGCCGUAGACCCAGGCGGACCGAGACAGCCGGAAAGACGCGGUCAUUCCUCUCAGCCAGGGAUGCCAAAUGACAGACGUCGAGUCGGGGAGAGUCAACUCCUGUGUUCAAAAUCACGCGAAGACGCUGGUGAAAUUAAAGCAGUCGUCUGGAAGUGUGCAAUAAGCACAAGCUUAUUUUAUCUUUUUUUUUCUUCUUCUUCUUUUUUUUUUUUUUUUUUUUUUUUUAAAUCCAUUAAAUACAUAUUUAAAAGCUUCCUGAGCCUUGCAAACAACAGACUAGCUAGUAAGAAAACUCGAGCAUGAGUUAUAUGCAGCCCUGGCCAGAAUGGGACUAGGGCGGAGGGAAAUUACCGGGUUUUUUCGGGGAUCGGUUGCUGUUCUGCUGAGAGAGAGAGAGAGAGAGAGAGUGCUCUAAGGCUCUGACUCUCCGUGUUCACAGCGGACCUUGAUUUAAUGUCAUACAAUUAAGGCACGCGGUGAAUGCCAAGAGCGGAUCCUCAAAGCAGCAUGAAAGAUAUCGCUAGAACAUACCAUAACAAUAAUGUUAAUAAUAAAAAUAAUUGCAAUUAGCUAAAAAAAAAAAAAAAAAAAAAAAAAA